GCGGUAGUCGUCUAGUGGUAGGAUUCAGGACUGUGGAUCCUGCGGCGCGGGUUCGAUUCCCGCCUAUCGCC
Molecule: transfer RNA, 71 nt
Filed under: Candidatus Woesearchaeota archaeon
Lineage: Archaea; Nanobdellati; Candidatus Woesearchaeota
Description: tRNA-His
Rfam family: tRNA
About the family: Transfer RNA (tRNA) molecules are approximately 80 nucleotides in length. Their secondary structure includes four short double-helical elements and three loops (D, anti-codon, and T loops). Further hydrogen bonds mediate the characteristic L-shaped molecular structure. tRNAs have two regions of fundamental functional importance: the anti-codon, which is responsible for specific mRNA codon recognition, and the 3' end, to which the tRNAs corresponding amino acid is attached (by aminoacyl-tRNA synthetases). tRNAs cope with the degeneracy of the genetic code in two manners: having more than one tRNA (with a specific anti-codon) for a particular amino acid; and 'wobble' base-pairing, i.e. permitting non-standard base-pairing at the 3rd anti-codon position.
Source: RNAcentral